GAUGAACGCUGGCGGCGUGCCUAAUACAUGCAAGUCGAGCGAACGGACGAGAAGCUUGCUUCUCUGAUGUUAGCGGCGGACGGGUGAGUAACACGUGGAUAACCUACCUAUAAGACUGGGAUAACUUCGGGAAACCGUAGCUAAUACCGGAUAAUAUUUUGAACCGCAUGGUUCAAAAGUGAAAGACGGUCUUGCUGUCACUUAUAGAUGGAUCCGCGCUGCAUUAGCUAGUUGGUAAGGUAACGGCUUACCAAGGCAACGAUGCAUAGCCGACCUGAGAGGGUGAUCGGCCACACUGGAACUGAGACACGGUCCAGACUCCUACGGGAGGCAGCAGUAGGGAAUCUUCCGCAAUGGGCGAAAGCCUGACGGAGCAACGCCGCGUGAGUGAUGAAGGUCUUCGGAUCGUAAAACUCUGUUAUUAGGGAAGAACAUAUGUGUAAGUAACUGUGCACAUCUGGACGGUACCUAAGCAGAAAGCCACGGCUAACUACGU
RNAcentral lists this ribosomal RNA (496 nucleotides) under uncultured bacterium. RNAcentral describes it as "partial 16S ribosomal RNA". It matches the Rfam family "Bacterial small subunit ribosomal RNA", at positions 28 to 506 of the family's 1533-position model. The record is from RNAcentral.